RNA transcript from Panicum hallii, 5866 nucleotides. It is a transcript of the gene named receptor-like protein EIX2, with no coding region annotated. The transcript has 4 exons. Lineage: Eukaryota; Viridiplantae; Streptophyta; Magnoliopsida; Poales; Poaceae. The record is from RefSeq and is a predicted model, not a curated record.
CCGCUGUCCUCUGCUCUCAGGUGGAAGACUUCAAAAGUGGAAGCGCGACAAAGAUGAGCCAGUCUUCCUCCUCUUCUGGUGAAGUAGGAACUCUGCCUCGAAGCGGUAAUUGUAACAUGGCAGAGAUGGGAGUGGAAGAAACUGCAGCCUCUGUUGUUAGUGGUACUGGAACUAACCAGGAUGCUGCUGCAUCCCUGAUUGCUAAAGCAAUCACUCUUCUGACACCAGAUGUUAGAGCCCAAGCUGAGGAUCCAAAGAGGAAGGCUUCCUCCAAAGACCCAGGAUGGAAGUAUGGUUUUUGGCCAGAAAUAGGGAAAAAGGAUAAGAUACAGUGCAUAUUCUGUGGAAAGCAGCCACAUGGUGGGGUUUUAAGAUUCAAAAUGCAUCUUGCUGGUGGAUAUCCAGUGGUGUAGAAGCAUCUGCUAUAGUUAGGAAAGAGAUGAAUGACUACUUGAUGAAAAAUGCAAAUGCAAAGAACUUGGUUACUGAGAACUUGGAAGGGCCAGUUGCAGAGGGUGAAGAAGUUGAAAUUAUUGAAUCAAAUUCUACUGCUGUACGAACUGCAUCAAGAUCAGGGAAGGCUCCAAAGUCUGGAAGAAAGAAAACUCAAGCAUCGAAUAAAACCAACACCAAAUCAGUGGCUGCAAAGCAGUCAACAGGUACAAAUUUGCAGAAUAGGCCUUGGUAAUGAUAUUUGGUUUUGCAGCAGUUCCUCUUCUUUUCACCCUCCUCCCCUCGUCGCGGCUGCGGAGAGCUCCGGCGAGCGCCGCCCCCGCCCGAGGAGGCUACGGGAUUGCACUAGGAAAUGCGUAUCUGCGUAGGUUCCUCUUCUUCUACCGCUUCCGGAAGAUGGCCACCGCAGCUUCAGCAAGGAGAACCCUACGGCCGCGGCAUUCCUCAGGCAAGUGUUCGCCUUUUCAGCAGCGGACCUCCCCCUACGCUCCGAAAAGAUCGGGGCUGUGGCCGCGCUUCACAGGCGCGGCAUUUGUUUCGGAGGACUGCACGUCGAGAUGCGGAUGAAGACGGCAAGCGGCGAGAGUUGACUUGGGUACGCAGCACCGUCGCCUUCCAUUGUUUCAGCUUUCAGGUUACAGACGGGUUCAGGAUCAGAACAGACUGCAGACAAAGGGCUUGCGUUCAUUCCACCCAUCUAUCUGAAACUUUUUUGCAUCACCAGAACUACCAUCGGGUUCAAGAACCUUAUUGAGUGAUAAACUGAUAAUUAGCUAGAGUAGUUACGGAACACACCCAUAAACUAAAGAAUAAUAUACAUGAUGUCAUCAGAAUGAGCAAAAGGGCGGAGACUUGGAUUUCAGUAUCUAGCGAGGAAUCGUCAGCGCACUGCUGACAUCAGUUGAUUAUUUCUGACUUCAUACCCUGUGAUCUAGAUGUGUUAUUUUUUCCCCCUCCCUCAGCAAAAUAAUUUUAGAUUCCGAUUUGCGAAGCAAACAUCAUAUGUCUGAAUUCUGAUGGCGUAUAUAUAUAUUUGAAGAUCGGUUAACAUAUUAAGUCAACUGGAAGUAAGUCUUCUCAGUUACAUUUUAUUUGUACCCAGCUAUUCCAGAACUCGUAGUCAAAGGGAAACUUGUGCUCUAGUGACAUGUUUUUUGAGAAAAGAAACAGGAUGAAUUGUGUUUACAUGUAUUAUUCUUUUCAGUCUUCACAGCUUGCAUUAUAGGAUGUUUAUACAAAUAGUACGGUAUUUCACCUGAACUUAAACUUUGUUCAUUGAUCGUAGAGACGAGUCUCUGAUGAGCCUAAUGAAUUCGUCUCACUUGCUGUUUUCAGAUUUGUGAAUAGAACGUUACAGAAUCAAGCUAGCAUGCGCCAGCGUCUCCAAGCCAGUGGCCUUGAGUCGUGGCACUAUGAUUGUUGCAUGGAUGGAGUCCAGGAGACGUCAUUGGAGCCAGUUGCUAGUAUUUGUAUGCAUCCUCCAUAUCUGCCUCUGUAUUUCACAUCAAAGCUGUGCAUAUUUUCCCCCCUUUAUUUCACUAUUGAGGCAGCAUCAUUUACUUAACUAGCAUCCUAGAUAAGAACGAAGAUCAUAUUAUUCACAUAAUAUGUUACCCCAUCACGGGAGAUGACCAAGUUGCAUUCGUUCAGGAGGAAUGGCUUAAGCACCAAUAACAAACAUGGCAGGUGUUUAGUCAAACAAAACCAGAAUAUCGAUCAGCAUUUUCACUUUGAGUUGGGAUGAAUAGUUCUUAAUGCAAUUAUGUGUGGCUCUCCUUGACUCCUUAUUUGAGAAAGAAAAGGUUUGUAGGGAAGACCUACUGUUAGCUAGAGCACGUUUUCCUCUUUUUAACUUGUCUACUAGACCAUUAUCUUCAAAUCUAGUGAACUGUGAGAAACUUCAACCUUGAAAUAUUUCUAGGACAAACUUUUCUCGGGUCUUUGGUCAAUUGGUAUCCUCCAGAAAAUAAACUUAUCCUGAUCACACUAAGCCUCAAUUAAAUGCAUCAACAAGUUAAUGAUUCACUACUAAUUUGAAUAUGAUCAGAUAUAGCUGGCUAUUGCCGACCAUAUUUUCUCGCUAAUGUUGGGCAGGUGUCUUCUGUCUUCUCCUGACCUUGUUUCUCAUAUAAAUCCCCGAAAGUUGCAACAUUGCCAGCAUGGAGAGCAUCAUGCGCCUUUCACUGCUUCCAUUGUUGCUCCUUUUGCUAGUAGCCACCGAAACCACAGCAGCAAGCAGGUGUAUUGUAAAAGAAAGGAGCGUGCUACUCGACUUGAAGGCCACCUUCAAAGAUCCUCAUGGUCUACUGCAAUCAUGGAGGGGUCUAAAUUGUUGCAGCUGGUAUGGUGUAACAUGUGACAACAAGACUGGACACAUCAUCAAGCUCGACCUCCACAACAAUAACUUCAGCAAUGAGUAUGCUCUUACAGGUGACAUCAGCCCAUCAUUGGUUAAUUUGACUCACCUAGAGUACUUUGAUCUUCAUGGUAAUGAUUUUGGUGGUGCAAGUAUCCCUGAGUUCAUUGGAUCAUUAAUGAACCUUAGGCAUCUUGACUUGUCCUUUGCUGGCUUUGGUGGGAAAAUUCCCCCACGGCUUGGAAACUUGUUGAAGCUGAAUUACCUUGAUAUUAGUUUCCCUAAUGGAACCUUUAUUGUUCGUUCCAAUAGCUCUGUUGACAACCUUCUUUGGCUGUCUCGGCUUUCUUCACUGGCUUUUCUUGACAUGUCAUGGUGGAACCUUUCUGCUGCUUCAGACUGGCUCGAGUCACUAAACAUGCUUACCUCCAUUCAGGAGCUUCGUUUGAUUAAUACUAGUAUUCCUCCCAUUGAACUCAAUUCUCUAUCCCAGCCCAAGUUCACAGUUCUUAAUAAAAUUGACCUGUCAGACAACAACCUCAACUCUACCUUCCCAUAUUGGUUAACCAGCAAACAAACUGUGUCAUAUAUUAGCUUGGGUCGCUGUGGACUUCAUGGAUCAAUUCCUGAAGCUGUGGGGAAUUUAACUGCCCUAACUGAGCUCCUUUUGUACCAGAACAGUCUGGAAGGAGCAAUUCCAGUAUCGAUUGGUAGAUUGUGCAACUUGCAGGUGCUGGAUUUGUCCAACAACAAUCUUGCUGGUGAUAUUGAUAAUCUGGGGAAGGCCACGGACGGAUGCUUGAAUCAACUAUAUUUGAUGAACUUGAGGAAUAAUAAUCUAUCUGGAAGUAUACCUGGAUGGCUCGGAUCCUUAAAAGAACUCUUCUCAGUUGACCUAAGCAAUAAUUCGCUGUCAGGUCCUGUUCCUUCCAAUAUUGGUCAGCUCAAAAGAUUAGAUAAACUGGACAUUUCUUACAAUUUUCUCCAAGGAGUCUUGUCUGAAGAGCACCUAGCCAAUCUAUCCGAGCUGUCUACCCUUGUUCUAUCGUCUAACUCUUUGAAGAUUUCUGUUGGCACAAACUGGCUUCCACCAUUUCAGCUGUUUGAACUUAGUUUACAUUCCUGCCCACUAGAGUUGCAGCUCCCACAGUGGCUUCGGACUCAGACCAAGUUGCACACUUUAGAUUUGCACGACACAGGAACUAUAGGCCCUUUGCCUGAUUGGCUUUGGGCUUCGUUGACAUCUCUCGUUAGAUUGGAUCUCUCCAACAACCUGCUCACAGGCACGCUACCAGCCACUCUAGUGCAUAUGAAGUCACUUUAUUACUUGAAGCUGGAUUCCAACAAAUUAGAAGGUCAAGUCCCUAAUAUGCCAAGAAGUAUUAGAUUGCUGGAUCUCUCGAGAAAUUCUUUCUCUGGACCACUGCCCCACAGUUUAGGAGGCAAUGACUCACGCUUUGUUUUCUUGUCAGAGAAUAGUCUAAAUGGAAGCAUACCUUUGUACUUCUGUGAGAUGGAACUGUUAUCAAUAAUUGACCUUUCAAACAACAGAUUAUCAGGUGGACUCCCUAAUUGCUGGAAGCAUGACACAAGAUUAUUUAUGCUGGACUUCUCAAACAAUCACCUCGAGGGAGAAAUACCCUCAACCAUUGGCUCUCUUAAUUCACUUGGUUCCUUGAAUUUGAACAGGAACAAACUCUCUGGGGUGUUACCCUUCUCUCUAAGCUCAUGCAGCCGUUUAGUUUUACUUGAUCUUGGAGAGAAUCAGUUGGAGGGUUCCAUACCUGCAUGGAUAGGAGAUAAUCUGCAACUCCUCAUAAUCCUUAGACUUCGAUCAAAUCAGUUCUCUGGAAAUAUUCCUGCUGAAUUGUCACUACUCCAAGGCCUUCGAGUGUUGGAUCUUGCUAACAACAACCUUUCAGGGCCCCUGCCACAAAGUAUUGGAAACUUCACUAAGAUGGCUUCACAUCAGUCAAAAUACAGUACAUCGUCAUUCAUGACUGUCACUAAUGGUGGUUAUAUCGUGAGUAUCAAUGUUAGUCUAUACAUUACAAUGAAAGGAGAAGAAAGAAUCUAUUCUAGGAUCCUUUAUCUUAUGAAGAGCAUUGACCUUUCUGACAAUGACCUAUCAGGAGAAAUUCCUGUUGAAAUUGGAGCUCUUGUGGAACUCAAGAAUCUGAAUCUAUGAGAAAUCGCCUCAGUGGACCUAUCCCAGAGACAGUUGGCCAUAUGGGUUCAUUGGAGUCCCUUGAUCUAUCAUGGAACCAGCUUUCUGGUGCGAUUCCUCAAAGCAUGGCAUCGCUGCACCUGCUAAGCCUGUCCUACAACAAUCUUUCUGGAAAGAUACCUCCUGGUUCUCAACUUCAAACCCUUGGAGAUGAAGAUCCAUACAUAUAUGCGGGCAACAGCUACCUCUGCAGCCCUCUUGUUCCAGGACUCGGCUUCGGAAUCGGAUUCGCAGCUGUAUGGUGGCUACUUAUAUUCAGCAAGGCAGUGAGCACAGGCUACUUCCAGUCUGUUGACUCAAUAUGUAAGAAAAUCUGUGACCGGAUGAUCUACUGAAGAUAAAUAUGGACAUGAAAUUGAUGGGAGCAAACCAGAAUCCAGGUGGUUAAACUUGUUCGAACUACUGGUCAGACGUGGACUGAUGCAGUGAUACUCUUGCUUCUUAUCUGCAGAGACCAUCUGCCCUGGUUAAGCAACAUUGUGCAUUGCAUGGUCAAGAUGGAUAUGUUGAGAGUUCCACAUGUAUGAUGUGUAAUCCUUCUUUUUUAAUUCUUUUUGCAUGGAGUCUUGAACCUUUAUAUUGCCCUGUGUUGAAACAUGCUUGUUAGUGUCAUCGCAAUUGUACUGUGGAUGGCAGUGGUACUUGUUGUCACUGACGAUUUAAGCUAGAAAUUCUGAAGUCUUCUGUGCUUGAAGUUUUAGCAUUUUCCAAGGAAGAAGGAACGGAGCCUACUAUACUGUACAUAAUGUGUGUGUGCAAGGUCAUGGUUGAUUUGAACAGUGUUGUUCUAUGUGUACUGUAACUGUAAGUGUCUUUUGGCAAGAAUGGAA